RNAcentral lists this ribosomal RNA (329 nucleotides) under uncultured eukaryote. RNAcentral's name for it is "partial 18S ribosomal RNA". It matches the Rfam family "Eukaryotic small subunit ribosomal RNA", at positions 1470 to 1796 of the family's 1831-position model. The record is from RNAcentral.
CCCUUAGAUGUCCUGGGCUGCACGCGCGCUACACUGAUGCAUUCAACGAGUCUAAAACCUGCUCUGAUAGGGGUGGGUAAUCUUUUGAAUGUGCAUCGUGAUUGGGAUAGAUGAUUGAAAUUUUUCAUCUUCAACGAGGAAUGCCUAGUAAACGCAAGUCAUCAGCUUGCAUUGAUUACGUCCCUGCCCUUUGUACACACCGCCCGUCGCUCCUACCGAUUGAAUGAUCCGAUGAAUAUCAUGGAUUGAGGAUGCAAGUAGGUUCACCUAUCUUCAUCUUCGAGAAGUGAAGUAAAUCUUAUCAUUUAGAGGAAGGAGAAGUCGUAACA